UGCAGUCGAGCAGGUAGGCCAUUCGGGGUACACGAGCGAGCGAACGGGUGAGUAACACGUGGGUGAUCUGCCCUGCACUUCGGGAUAAGCCUGGGAAACUGGGUCUAAUACCGGAUAUGACCUCCUGUUGCAUGACUUGGGGUGGAAAGAUUUAUCGGUGCAGGAUGGGCCCGCGGCCUAUCAGCUUGUUGGUGGGGUAAUGGCCUACCAAGGCGACGACGGGUAGCCGACCUGAGAGGGUGACCGGCCACACUGGGACUGAGACACGGCCCAGACUCCUACGGGAGGCAGCAGUGGGGAAUAUUGCACAAUGGGCGAAAGCCUGAUGCAGCGACGCCGCGUGAGGGAUGACGGCCUUCGGGUUGUAAACCUCUUUCAGCAGGGACGAAGCGCAAGUGACGGUACCUGCAGAAGAAGCACCGGCUAACUACGUGCCAGCAGCCGCGGUAAUACGUAGGGUGCAAGCGUUGUCCGGAAUUACUGGGCGUAAAGAGUUCGUAGGCGGUUUGUCGCGUCGUUUGUGAAAACCAGCAGCUCAACUGCUGGCUUGCAGGCGAUACGGGCAGACUUGAGUACUGCAGGGGAGACUGGAAUUCCUGGUGUAGCGGUGAAAUGCGCAGAUAUCAGGAGGAACACCGGUGGCGAAGGCGGGUCUCUGGGCAGUAACUGACGCUGAGGAACGAAAGCGUGGGUAGCGAACAGGAUUAGAUACCCUGGUAGUCCACGCCGUAAACGGUGGGCGCUAGGUGUGGGUUCCUUCCACGGAAUCCGUGCCGUAGCUAACGCAUUAAGCGCCCCGCCUGGGGAGUACGGCCGCAAGGCUAAAACUCAAAGGAAUUGACGGGGGCCCGCACAAGCGGCGGAGCAUGUGGAUUAAUUCGAUGCAACGCGAAGAACCUUACCUGGGUUUGACAUAUACCGGAAAGCUGCAGAGAUGUGGCCCCCCUUGUGGUCGGUAUACAGGUGGUGCAUGGCUGUCGUCAGCUCGUGUCUUGAAAUGUUGGGUUAAGUCCCGCAACGA
Molecule: ribosomal RNA, 1021 nt
Filed under: Rhodococcus sp. (in: high G+C Gram-positive bacteria)
Lineage: Bacteria; Bacillati; Actinomycetota; Actinomycetes; Mycobacteriales; Nocardiaceae
Description: bacterial SSU rRNA
Rfam family: Bacterial small subunit ribosomal RNA
Source: RNAcentral